Parus major (Great Tit) is the source of this 830-nucleotide long non-coding RNA. RefSeq lists it as uncharacterized. The transcript has 2 exons. The record is from RefSeq and is a predicted model, not a curated record. NCBI's taxonomy places the organism in Eukaryota, Metazoa, Chordata, Aves, Passeriformes, Paridae.
GGACGGGGUGCCGGAGGAGCCCAGGGCAGAGCCAGCUCCCUCCGGCGCCGGGCGACCGCCCGCCCGGGACUCCUCGUACGCCUUCCGAAACAGCAACAUCCAAAUCUGGAGUGAUCCCCCCGAUAGGCAGCACAGCUCUCAUCCGCAAGUGAGGUGAAGCAUCCAAGGUAGCCUGAGGAAGGCGAAAGAAGGAGCGAGAGCAGCGCUCUCCCAAGCAGAGGCGCUUUCUGCGUCCGCUACAGCAGCAACUUGUUCCUUUCACCAAGGUUUGUAACUGAGUUAGAAGAAAUCCUCCAAAAAUAUCGGGAUCCAGGCUCUGGGAGGAGCCUCCGCGCCCCUUGCAGCCAAUAUCCUCCUGCCCAUUUGUGCCUGACAGUUUUGCAAGGGAGGGAAGGGAAGACCCGGGCAGCGGAGCCCCGUGCGCUCCCCGGUCAGCGGCGAAGCUGCAGGGCUGGCGGUGCCGGAGGCUGCCAGCACACUGCCAGAGCCUCACCGCUGCUCUGCGCGGUGCCUCGGCUGCCGGGAGGGUCCAUUUUAUUUUGCAGUAUUUCUUGAUUGACGUCUGUGAUUUCCCCCCGUUCUUGAAAAGGGCGGGUGGGUGCGAGGAGGGGGGAGAACCUUGUUGCUUCCACCGCAGUUAUUGGUUAGUUGCCUCUAUUCAGGCUUUAAUGAACAUGAUUUCACAAGUGUUCCCAAUCCCCCCUAAAUAACUAGGAAAGAAAAGCAAGCCGUAUUUAUGACAGUCACUGGCAUCUCUUUUCCAUGUUGUAAUUUUACGUGUAUUAAUUUAACUUGCAGUCAGGAGCAUAAUAAAUUGAUCUUUUAACAAU